ACAGACAGUACAGGACUUUAGGGCGUGCUUCUAUGUUAGCACAUUGGAGGUCCUCUGUUCUGAUACUGGUUUAAAGCAGGACAGGAGCUAGAAAGAGUGAAAGAGUAAGAAGAUGAUUUGAAAGAAGAGGAAAAGAAAAAUUACAGAUCUACAAGAACUACAGGAAAAGACACUUUUCAAUUUGAUAGUGUUGUCCAGAAGCUGAAGAGAAGGCAUUUGGUAAACAAGAUGUUUUAAACUAGAAUCAGAAUAUAACUUCAAAAAUGCUUGAAUAUCUAGAGCUUAAACUGGACACAUAAUUUUUAUCUUGGAAAAAAAAUGCAUGAAAUCUAGGGUCCUUUACAAUCAACAGAUGCUAGCCAUUGAUUUCUGCGAAGGCAGGAUUUUUCCCCAGCUUCUCAUCAACAUAUUACUGGAAAAUUUCCUCUGUUGUUCCUUUGUAAUCCAAGAAUGCAAACUUCAGUGGAAGAGACAACUGUCUCCAUACAAUUUCAGCUGACUCGCCACACUCUUGCUCUUCUUCUCUCAUGUCAUCUGUUCCUCCUCUUCCCACAAACAAAUUGCUUAUGAACCAUUUUCUCUUCAUAAAAAAUGCAUUUAGUAACAAGCUUGAAAGAAAUGGUCCUCAUCAGCCAUUUAAUUUGUUAUACUAUGCAAGAAAGAAGAAGCAGAAGAUAGUAUUUUGAAGUGCAGAAUAUUACAGGAAUAGCAACAUUAAAAAGCAGGUCAUGAGCUUUCUGGCAUUCUGAUUGCAGAGAAUUGGUUGUGUUGGCAAGCUAUAGAUGAGAACCACGUAACCACAGCAUUUUAUUUCCUCUCAGAUCUCUCUGAGAUUGACAAAAAAUGAUGCCAUACUUUAAUUUUUCAUUUCAUGCUUCAUUUUUCAUGUAAUGUGUAAAAGAGAUGUUUAAUUUCUGCUGCUGUAGCUGCAGUAGUUGGUGGAUCAUGUGUAAUUAUGCAUAAGAGCACUUCAUUGUUAUGAAAUGAUGAAUUUCAUAAUUUAAAAUAAAUAAACAAAAAGGUUUUAUGAACAAC
Molecule: long non-coding RNA, 1035 nt
Organism: Gallus gallus (chicken)
Lineage: Eukaryota; Metazoa; Chordata; Aves; Galliformes; Phasianidae
Exons: 3
Source: RefSeq, a predicted model, not a curated record